Molecule: ribosomal RNA, 497 nt
Filed under: uncultured bacterium
Lineage: Bacteria
Description: partial 16S ribosomal RNA
Rfam family: Bacterial small subunit ribosomal RNA
Source: RNAcentral
GAUGAACGCUGGCGGCGUGCCUAAUACAUGCAAGUCGAGCGAACAGACGAGGAGCUUGCUCCUCUGACGUUAGCGGCGGACGGGUGAGUAACACGUGGAUAACCUACCUAUAAGACUGGGAUAACUUCGGGAAACCGGAGCUAAUACCGGAUAAUAUAUUGAACCGCAUGGUUCAAUAGUGAAAGACGGUUUUGCUGUCACUUAUAGAUGGAUCCGCGCCGCAUUAGCUAGUUGGUAAGGUAACGGCUUACCAAGGCAACGAUGCGUAGCCGACCUGAGAGGGUGAUCGGCCACACUGGAACUGAGACACGGUCCAGACUCCUACGGGAGGCAGCGGUAGGGAAUCUUCCGCAAUGGGCGAAAGCCUGACGGAGCAACGCCGCGUGAGUGAUGAAGGUCUUCGGAUUGUAAAACUCUGUUAUUAGGGAAGAACAAAUGUGUAAGUAACUAUGCACGUCUUGACGGUACCUAAUCAGAAAGCCACGGCUAACUACGUG